Pyrus x bretschneideri (Chinese white pear) is the source of this 284-nucleotide long non-coding RNA. RefSeq lists it as uncharacterized. The transcript has 3 exons. Lineage: Eukaryota; Viridiplantae; Streptophyta; Magnoliopsida; Rosales; Rosaceae. The record is from RefSeq and is a predicted model, not a curated record.
ACACACACACACACACACAAAUACCCACAGUCGCACAACCCAGGGAGAGUCACCAUCAUCGCCGUUGAACUGCUUCUCUCUCUCUCUUUCUCUCUCCCCUGCUCGCGGUGCCGGAGUACGCCGAGCAUCUCCGGCGAAUUUUAGCUUGUUUUCCGGUUGGGUUUUGGAGUGUUUUUGGCAAGGGUGGAGGUACACCCAAUUUUCCGGCGAGUGCGUGUUUUCCGAGGGAUUUUCGGGCCACCACAAGCCGUUACACGGCGAACCCAAGGUGCGAUUCUUAGCGG